CAGAAUGCACCGGUGCUUCAGUUCCUCACUGCUGAGCUGCUCUAAUGAACGCUCUUCUGUAGUCUCCUGAACACCUCCCAUUGCUUAUGCAGGGGCCUUACCUUCACAUUCACCUGGAGGAGCUGCAGCCACCUACAGCACAUCAGCUGGAUGUGAGCCCACAAGGAACAAAGGUGUUUUUGCCACAGCUCUUCAACUGACUGCACAAUGACGAUGGAAGAGCCAGGGUGAAGACGGAUGAUGUUGGAAUUUCCUUCUUGCAGUCUGAUGUGCCUCAGAAAAUGACACUGAACAGCUCAGAAUCUCUCUGAGGUGACGGUAUGGUCACCCAUCUGUAUCUUGCCUGGAAGCAUUUUGCAGACCUUUUGAGGCUUAGUUGCUCAAAACAUCUUAAA
Molecule: long non-coding RNA, 395 nt
Organism: Empidonax traillii (willow flycatcher)
Lineage: Eukaryota; Metazoa; Chordata; Aves; Passeriformes; Tyrannidae
Exons: 4
Source: RefSeq, a predicted model, not a curated record